Non-coding RNA from Lonchura striata (white-rumped munia), 1315 nucleotides. The record is from RefSeq and is a predicted model, not a curated record. NCBI's taxonomy places the organism in Eukaryota, Metazoa, Chordata, Aves, Passeriformes, Estrildidae.
CGGCGGGGCCUCCAUGGUGGGAUCGGGAGCGGAGCGGGGCGGGAGCGGCUCUGCCCGCCCCGGCGUCACCUGCGGCCGCCAGUCCCGCUCCUGCGGGGCUGGGCCGGGCUGGGCUCGGCGGGGCCGGGUGGGGCCGGGGUCGUGGCCAGGGGCGCCGCGGCGGCAGCUCCGGGGGCCGCGGUGGCGGGAGCCGCUCUCCCGGGAUCCGCCGGCUGCCGCGUCUCCCGGGCGUGCUGGUGGAGUGGUGUGCGGCAGCGGGCACCGGCGGCAGAAGGGAUGGAGCGAGCUGCGGAGGGCUCACCUUAUGGCGUGAUGGCACCGCAACCGGGGGCACGGCCAGCCGGACAGCUUCCUUCUUCGGAAUCCUCCCCCGCUUCUCAACUGCACGCGUUGUGUUUUGUCUGCUCCUUUUAAUCUGGAUACUAAGGAAAUCGUGAUUUUGUUGGUGGUGGUUUGGGUUUUUAUCUUUUUAGACUGGUUUAUGUAACAGAUCACCUAAGAAGACCUGCUGGACGACCAUGACAGGACUCUGCAAUCAGUAUCAAAAGGCACCAGUCCCUCCUGAGCGGGUAUAUGCAAUUUCACCGGCACGGGCAUAUGCAUUGCUACUUUCAACCGUCUGAAUUUCAGAGUAGCAUCACUGGAAAAUUUCACAUAGUGACUUGGAGGUUUAGAUGAUGUGCUUUUCAUUAUGCUUUUGUUAUGUUUUUCAACCGUUUCAUUGUUUUACCACUUGAAAAGAAAAAGAGAAAGUAAAAAAAGACUAAGCCUUGACUGAUCUUACUCUUGGUACUUAGUUCCACAAGUUCUUCUGUAGAGUCUCUGGACAAGCAGGAAAUCUGGGAUAUGUGUGGUGUAUGGUCUCAGUGCAAUUGAAACCCGGACAACUAUCUCUAACCCAAACCCUUGACCAUAGGGUGCAAAUACAAGAUUUAACCCCUCGAAUGACCUCUUGAACCCAUCAGUUACCAGGCUGCUCCUUGUCGCAUCACACCUUUAUGCACCAAGCAAAGAGAUAUGCUGGAGGGAAGAUUCCUCUUCUUAAACUUGUACUUUAUUCAAGUUCCUGGUCUUUUAAUCUCCUUCCAAGAGGCAGGGAGACGGAAAAGAGAGAGAAAAAAAGACAGACAUUAUUAGUGUUUUGUAACAAGACUAAUCAGUUACUAAGAUGAGAAUACCACUUUUCUGCUGUGCCUUCCACAUACAAAGUUGUCACAGAAUUUCUGUGGCAGGAGCAAGGAUAUACCAGUGUAGUUACUUGUGUAUAAGGUGUUGGAGAUUUAGUGUCUGAAAAAAGUGGUAUCGUUGUCAAGCA